UGGUGUCGUUGAGGUUCUAACCUGGACCCCUUAUCGGGGUCGGGGACCGUGCAUGGUAGGCAGUUUGACUGGGGCGGUCUCCUCCCAAAAGGUAACGGAGGAGCACGAAGGUUGGCUAGACACGGUCGGAAAUCGUGUUGAUAGUGCAAGGGCAUAAGCCAGCUUAACUGCGAGACCCACAAGUCGAGCAGAUGCGAAAGCAGGUCCUAGUGAUCCGGUGGUUCUGUAUGGAAGGGCCAUCGCUCAACGGAUAAAAGGUACUCUGGGGAUAACAGGCUGAUUCCGCCCAAGAGUUCACAUCGACGGCGGAGUUUGGCACCUCGAUGUCGGCUCAUCUCAUCCUGGGGCUGUAGCCGGUCCCAAGGGUAUGGCUGUUCGCCAUUUAAAGAGGUACGUGAGCUGGGUUCAAAACGUCGUGAGACAGUUUUGGUCCCCUAUCUGCCGUGGGCGCUGGAGAUUUGACGGGGGC
RNAcentral lists this ribosomal RNA (469 nucleotides) under uncultured bacterium. RNAcentral's name for it is "bacterial LSU rRNA". It matches the Rfam family "Bacterial large subunit ribosomal RNA", at positions 2206 to 2672 of the family's 2925-position model. The record is from RNAcentral.